This 253-nucleotide ribosomal RNA is filed under the name uncultured bacterium. Its description in RNAcentral is "partial 16S ribosomal RNA". It matches the Rfam family "Bacterial small subunit ribosomal RNA", at positions 524 to 776 of the family's 1533-position model. The record is from RNAcentral.
UACGAAGGGGGCUAGCGUUGCUCGGAAUCACUGGGCGUAAAGCGCAUGUAGGCGGAUCUUUAAGUCAGGGGUGAAAUCCUGGAGCUCAACUCCAGAACUGCCUUUGAUACUGGGGAUCUCGAGUCCGGGAGAGGUGAGUGGAACUGCGAGUGUAGAGGUGAAAUUCGUAGAUAUUCGCAAGAACACCAGUGGCGAAGGCGGCUCACUGGCCCGGUACUGACGCUGAGGUGCGAAAGCGUGGGGAGCAAACAGG